RNAcentral lists this small nucleolar RNA (136 nucleotides) under Echeneis naucrates (live sharksucker). Its description in RNAcentral is "Small nucleolar RNA SNORA84 (ENSENLG00000013621.1)". It matches the Rfam family "Small nucleolar RNA SNORA84". The record is from Rfam by way of RNAcentral. Lineage: Eukaryota; Metazoa; Chordata; Actinopteri; Carangiformes; Echeneidae.
GCCUGGUGGUUCCUAGAGUCAGCUCCAAAGUGCUGAACUUUUGGGUUUUUAUUAACAGGCGCAAAUUGAUUCUGCAGUUUUAUGCAUGGAAGCUGUCAACAUAGCAGCCUUCCAUAGCCCGGUUGCAGAUACAUUU